GUAGUCGUGGCCAAGUGAUUAAGGUGAUGGACUUGAAAUCCAUUGGGAUGUCCCUGCGCAGGUUUGAAUCCUGCUGACUACG
Rhincodon typus (whale shark) is the source of this 82-nucleotide non-coding RNA. The record is from the annotation of a RefSeq genome assembly. NCBI's taxonomy places the organism in Eukaryota, Metazoa, Chordata, Chondrichthyes, Orectolobiformes, Rhincodontidae.